RNAcentral lists this ribosomal RNA (497 nucleotides) under uncultured bacterium. Its description in RNAcentral is "partial 16S ribosomal RNA". It matches the Rfam family "Bacterial small subunit ribosomal RNA", at positions 28 to 507 of the family's 1533-position model. The record is from RNAcentral.
GAUGAACGCUGGCGGCGUGCCUAAUACAUGCAAGUCGAGCGAACGGACGAGAAGCUUGCUUCUCUGAUGUUAGCGGCGGACGGGUGAGUAACACGUGGAUAACCUACCUAUAAGACUGGGAUAACUUCGGGAAACCGGAGCUAAUACCGGAUGAUAUUUUGAACCGCAUGGUUCAAAAGUGAAAGACGGUCUUGCUGUCACUUAUAGAUGGAUCCGCGCUGCUUUAGCUAGUUGGUAAGGUAACGGCUUACCAAGGCAACGAUGCAUAGCCGACCUGAGAGGGUGAUCGGCCACACUGGAACUGAGACACGGUCCAGACUCCUACGGGAGGCAGCAGUAGGGAAUCUUCCGCAAUGGGCGAAAGCCUGACGGAGCAACGCCGCGUGAGUGAUGAAGGUCUUCGGAUCGUAAAACUCUGUUAUUAGGGAAGAACAUAUGUGUAAGUAACUGUGCACAUCUUGACGGUACCUAAUCAGAAAGCCACGGCUAACUACGUG